Molecule: long non-coding RNA, 1696 nt
Organism: Cygnus olor (mute swan)
Lineage: Eukaryota; Metazoa; Chordata; Aves; Anseriformes; Anatidae
Exons: 3
Source: RefSeq, a predicted model, not a curated record
UAUUGCAGAAACACCAAAAAUGAUACAGGAUUGGUUACCAUAGCAACAGUGCUUCUUGCACUGCAUGGACCAACAAUCCCUCACUAUUUUAGAGCAUUACAAUGGAUUCAUGCUUUAUAGGACAAAGCUGAUUGGCAAAACCUAAAUAUCCCCCUGGGUAGUGGCAGGACCUGUGCAGGGAGAGUGAUGAACCCCAGCCGGUCCUGAUCCCCCGGGCAGCCGACAUGCACAUCACUCAUACCCGCACAGGCAACGUUCAGGUUCUACUAUUUCAUGUGUAAUAACGUCAUAAUUUCAUAUGUAAUAUGUCACAAUGCAGUGAAAGGUAACCACCUUUCAUUUUGACAAAAAGCACGCAGAGUCUGUCAGCUUCAUCGCAGCAAGGGCAGUUCAAGGGCCAAGCCCGAGCGUGUUUCCAGGCCAACUACCGAUUACGUGCUGCAGUUUGGCAGUAUUUGUUACACCAAAGGGACUCCGUGUACUUCUGUCACAGCCUCCUGCUGCCUCCAGUCUGCCUGAAAACCCUGUAUGACUGACUCCCUCUGCCUCUCUCCUCUGGGGCCACCACCUCACUGAUCUCAAGGGAUGACUGUCUGGAUGGAUCUGUAUUCAUUUGACUUCCUUCGUCUUACUUCUGUACCCAGAGGAGUCACCUAUUACAAAGCACCUACAGGUCUACAGGCGGCAUUUGAAGCAUGCCCCAUUGACCAGUGGCAGCAAAAAGAUUGUCUCUGCAAAUCAACUAAAUGUCAACCACUUUACUAGCAUACAGUUUCUGGAAGCGGCAUAAACCCAAUUUUUCACCCUACCAAGGCAACAAGAUUUUUGUUCUCCUUCUCUCAACUCAGAGCAGCCAACUUCCACCUAAGUGCUGGGAGCCAUGUGAGCACAUCAGGUUCUCAGGGCUUCUUUAGCUUAGCAACAACCCCCCCCCCCCUCCCCCUUUUGCAUGCCAGUGGCAUUGAUUUCACCUCAUCUGCUCACAGAACCUUCUUGUGAUGGACAUCAGCUUCAGCCCAUGCUGCAUGGUUGACAUGCAGAGGAAGGCAUAUGCCAUCUUUCAUGUGGGCUGGUUGCUAUGCUAGCUUCUCCAUGCAGAUGUACCUCUAGACUUCGCUGUGAGAUCCAGUGCUGGAAACAAAUGGCAAUAGCAGGUCUCCUGUGCCUUAGCUCCUGCUUCCAACAAGAUUAUAUGAAGUGGCUCAGGAUCUUCCAAGCAAAAAGAGGACAUCUGCUAAAAACUUACAAUCCCAUAGGAUACACCAGAAAACCUCAGCACCUUGAAAGCACUCUAAAGAGCUGGGGCCAGCUGUGCACUGCUGUGUUAUCUGCUUCCAUCGGGUAUGGGAGCAGUUAUGGGCAUGGAUGGCUGUGAAGUUAGUUAAGGAAAUGAGAGAGAAUCAUGAAAAAGACUAAAGGAAAAAGACUACAGAAAUUACUUCAAAUAUUGCAGUCAUGAGUUUGUAUGCUUGUAUUGUGCCCCAGCCUCCUUUACUUAUUAGUAAUAACUACUCAGCAACAACUCCUAACUUUGGGAAUAGGGAAUAGUUUGAUUAUGUGCAUGUAAAAUCUCCAGCAUUCUGUGCAUGCUAUAUAAAUAAUACAUAGUUUUACUAAUGACAUGCUGAUACGAUUCACAAUUCCACAAUUGUCUUUUUCAUCCUAGCCAAACAGGCAGAUAGAAGCCUCAUCAGUA